RNAcentral lists this ribosomal RNA (470 nucleotides) under uncultured bacterium. RNAcentral's name for it is "partial 16S ribosomal RNA". It matches the Rfam family "Bacterial small subunit ribosomal RNA", at positions 28 to 507 of the family's 1533-position model. The record is from RNAcentral.
GACGAACGCUGGCGGCGUGCUUAACACAUGCAAGUCGAACGCUGAAGCACCAGCUUGCUGGUGUGGAUGAGUGGCGAACGGGUGAGUAAUACGUGAGUAACCUGCCCUUGACUCUGGGAUAAGCUCGGGAAACUGGGCCUAAUACUGGAUGCUACAUGUCACCGCAUGGUGGUGUGUGGAAAGGGUUUACUGGUCUUGGAUGGGCUCACGGCCUAUCAGCUUGUUGGUGAGGUAAUGGCUCACCAGGGCGACGACGGGUAGCCGGCCUGAGGGGGUGACCGGCGACACUGAGACUGAGACACGGCCCAGACUCCUACGGGAGGCAGCAGUGGGGAAUAUUGCACAAUGGGCGCAAGCCUGAUGCAGCGAGGCCGCGUGUGGGAUGACGGCCUUCGGGUGGAAAACCUCUUUCAGCAGGGAAGAAGCCACAAGUGACGGUACCUGCAGAAGAAGCGCCGGCUAACUACGUG